Equus caballus (horse) is the source of this 2429-nucleotide long non-coding RNA. Lineage: Eukaryota; Metazoa; Chordata; Mammalia; Perissodactyla; Equidae. The record is from Ensembl.
CAGGAAGACAUGCACAAACUCUUCAAUCCAGGAAUGUCUGGGGACCCUGUCAUUACAUACCCCACAUGCUAAUCUAUCCCACGGCGACUCCAUAAUCUCUGGGGCUCCCACUGUUCUCCAGCUGAAAAUGUGUGAGUCCUCUUCUAAACUAUGGCUUUCCUCCUCUCUCCCUUCAUUGCAAAACUUUUCAAAUUGAAGAUUUACAAGUCACUAGGUAAGGGGUUGAUCCAGCUGAGAUUCAAGGUAGAGUGUUAGCAUGGAGCGAGGAAAUAAGUUUUAAGUCAAAAAAUUCUAUUCCACAUACUUACUGUGUGAAGUUUGACAGGUUACUCAGAGAGGCCCAGUAUUGACAUCUGUACAGGGCCAGAGAUAAAAAUCUGCCUCGUAUGGUCACUGUGAGGAUUAAAUUCAUUAAGAACAUAACAGGCCUGACAUGGGGCCUAGAAUGUGGCAAGUGUUUGACAAAUGUCAGUUCUCCUCCCCAUGAUAGACAUGAAAUGCUCUGAUUCUACUCGUUAAAGUUAAAACAAAACAAACGAAAAAACAAAAGGAAAUAUAACAGGAAUGCCAUUUAGAAUUGGUCCUCUUAAAGCAAAAGCAAACUGUAUGCCUAAUUAUCUCAAUGACUCAUUUCCCUGCUAGCUGCAAGACGCAGGUCCUAGGUCCCAGGAGCUCAAAGUCUGGUGGAUAUGACCGUGAUCUAUUGGGGGACAGUAUAAUUCAAAAUGAUCAUCUCAUUUUAGCUGGUGAAUAUCGGCCUUAAACUCUUGCAUCGUUAUCGAAAUUCUGGGCAGUUAUAUCUCCUCUCUCCAUGUAAAAUGUAAGCAAAGCUAGGGCACAUUUUUUAUAUUUCCUACAUUGCCAAAUAAGUGCAAGUUAAAAUAAAAAUUUGAAAGGAGAGGCGAAGAUUGCAAAGGAAGUGUUCUUUCCAUUUUUCCAACUGAUUAACAGUUUUCCUCUGAGUAAAUGCUUACAUUAAGGACGGCCAAGUUCUGGCCUUCUCCUCGUAGCGCAACCGCAAUGUCUCAGUCCCCGUUUAAGCAAACUGUAGCACUCUUUCAUACCUCAGUUUUCCCCAUCUGUCAAAUAGACAUUGUAGCCCUUUCCCAUCUUAAUCUCACUUUGAAUGCUCUUGACCUACUCAAGAGCAGAGAUCAGAUUCCGUACGUCAUUGUGUUCUCUGAAUUUAGCAAUUUCUGGCACGUAGUAUAUGGUCAAUAAAUGGCAACAAUGUAAACAACAAACUUUUCUUCCUUCUCUUUAGCUGGUAGGUCGGAUGGACUGUUCUGAUAUAGGUUGGGCUCAGCUCAUCUUGACUGGAUUCACGCAUGCAUCAGUGAUCUGCUAGUGGGUCAGCUGGGGGCUGGCUGGUCUAAGAAGCCCUUGGUUCAGAUGACUGUGUUUUGCUCCAUGUGGCCUCUCAGAGAUGAUGGGGUCUCCUGGAAAACAAGGUUUAGCAGGGCAGCAUUAAAGUUAUUUAAUGGCGCUAAGAGAUAUCCUGGGAAAGCUACUCCAUCAGACAGGUCCACAUGAGUACAAAGAGAUAAGAAAAUGGAUCUUCUCGCUUCACACGCUUUCAUGUUCUGCUGGAGAAAAUAUACAACUGUUCUGGAGGGCAACUUGGUGAUAUUGUGUCCAAAUGCAGCCUGGCUGCUCGUUUGAGCUCAAAGUUGAAAGCUUGGGAAAAAUCAGGCUAGGAACAGAACGACAGGAGAGAGAAUGAAAAAGGAAGUUGGGGAGGAGAUGGAGGGAAUCAGCAGGGAAGGGAGAGGGCACCUGUGUCCUCAUGGCUCUCUUCACCUCUGUUCUGCGCUCUCUCCCCACUUCCUGGAGACAGGUGAGAAGAAAAUGUGGACAAUUAAACCCUCAUGUGGGAACCCAGGUAGAGCAAACCACGCAGCCCAGGCUGACUCGCCCAUCCUCUCCAGUGCGUGCGGGUAAAGCGAGAAUCCCAUGGUACAGCAUCAACCCCCAGCAAGGAAAGCAGCUAUUGAAACUUGCUGAGCACGGAACAGCGGGGACAGAUCAUACCGAAACCAGAUGUGCUGCAUGGGUCAAAACCCUGGACCAAAGUAAUAGCAAACUUGCAGUUUGCGGUAUGCUGAGUUCCUGGUAUUUGGGAAAUGGCCACUGCAGCAACGGCAGGCUGGGUGAACUAAGGAAAGGCUCCUUUUCGGGUUCUGAAAUCAGUCAAUCACUGAGCCGGCCACGUGAGCCCAGCCUCAGACCCCUGGAUUUGAAAACUGCAAUUGAAAGCAGCAGAAAGUACUGGGAUAUUUGCAAGAAGACAAAAGAAUUCACCCAGGAAAUCCUGUUUAAGACGGAGAGAGGAUUCCCAGGAUUGGUCUGCUUGGAUAAGGAAGCUAAAGAACCAAGAAGCAGCAUACAGUCUGACCCACAAAGAGGAAUGCAAUACAGUUCUACAGAUG